RNAcentral lists this ribosomal RNA (252 nucleotides) under uncultured bacterium. Its description in RNAcentral is "partial 16S ribosomal RNA". It matches the Rfam family "Bacterial small subunit ribosomal RNA", at positions 57 to 305 of the family's 1533-position model. The record is from RNAcentral.
GCAAGUCGAACGAAGUCCAUGGAGCUUGCUCCGGAAGAUUGAGUGGCGAACGGGUGCGUAACACGUGAGAAACCUGCCCCGGACUUUGGGAUAACAGUUGGAAACGACUGCUAAUACCGAAUGUCGUCUUUUUCCCGCAUGGUGUUUUGAUGAAAGGUCCGCCGGUCCGGGAGGGUCUCGCGGCCUAUCAGCUUGUUGGAGGGGUAAUGGCUCACCAAGGCGUCGACGGGUAGCUGGUCUGAGAGGAUGAUC